UACGAAGGGGGCGAGCGUUGUUCGGAUUUACUGGGCGUAAAGGGCGCGUAGGCGGCGCGAGAAGUCGAGUGUGAAAGCCCCGGGCUCAACCUGGGAAUUGCGUCCGAUACUGGAUGGCUUGAAUCCGGGAGAGGGAUGCAGAAUUCCAGGUGUAGCGGUGAAAUGCGUAGAUAUCUGGAGGAAUACCGGUGGCGAAGGCGGCAUCCUGGACCGGCAUUGACGCUGAGGAGCGAAAGCCAGGGGAGCAAACGGG
Molecule: ribosomal RNA, 253 nt
Filed under: uncultured bacterium
Lineage: Bacteria
Description: partial 16S ribosomal RNA
Rfam family: Bacterial small subunit ribosomal RNA
Source: RNAcentral